Molecule: long non-coding RNA, 349 nt
Filed under: Sarcophilus harrisii (Tasmanian devil)
Lineage: Eukaryota; Metazoa; Chordata; Mammalia; Dasyuromorphia; Dasyuridae
Description: lncRNA (ENSSHAG00000021935.1)
Source: RNAcentral
GCAAACCCCGAGUCUCUCGGGGGUCUGGAAUCUGAGUCCUCCCCUGCUAUCAGCAGCUGCACAGGGGCCAUGCUGACGUGUAGUCCAGUGCUCUAUCCAUUUUGCCACUUAACUACAAAGUUGUGUGAGAAGUUGGGGAACAGAGUUAACCUGGAAGAAGAGAAGAAAAAAGACUUAGAAUGUGAAGAAACGAGGGGAGAUAAAGGAUCCCACACACCGAACGGAGUCAUUAAGAGCCAGACAUGACUGAACAAUAACAGGUCGAGAAACCUCUAGUCCUGCUGCUGGAAUGGGGUAAAUAGAAGGGAAUGGCUUGGCUUGAAACCUUUGAGAGACAUCUUUGCUCCAG